UACGUAGGGUGCAAGCGUUGUCCGGAAUUAUUGGGCGUAAAGCGCUCGCAGGUGGUCCGCUGCGUCGUGCGUGAAAGACCCCGGCUCAACUGGGGGAUGUCGUGCGAUACGGGCGGACUGGAGGCCAGUAGGGGGAUGCGGAAUUCCGGGUGUAGUGGUGGAAUGCGUAGAUAUCUGGAGGAACACCGGUGGCGAAGGCGGCAUUCUGGACCGGCAUUGACGCUGAGGCGCGAAAGCCAGGGGAGCAAACGGG
This 253-nucleotide ribosomal RNA is filed under the name uncultured bacterium. Its description in RNAcentral is "partial 16S ribosomal RNA". It matches the Rfam family "Bacterial small subunit ribosomal RNA", at positions 524 to 776 of the family's 1533-position model. The record is from RNAcentral.